This is a non-coding RNA of Lactuca sativa (garden lettuce), 3143 nucleotides long. The record is from RefSeq and is a predicted model, not a curated record. Lineage: Eukaryota; Viridiplantae; Streptophyta; Magnoliopsida; Asterales; Asteraceae.
UACACCCUAAUUAUUGACAUUUUUUCCUUCUCCCUCCCGACAUUGGACAUUGACUGCCGCCUACUUCUUCCCUCGCACUUCGACCAUCAUUACUUUCCAUUCCCGGUCAUCGACGUCGAUCAAGACAAGCAGGCCACCAGCCGACAACCUUCACUCUCUCCUUCUCCUUUUCUAUGUAAACCCUAAUCCGCCUCCACCACUACCGAAUCUACCUCAACUCACCUCUGACCUCGGCUCAUCUCUUUUCGAUCGUUGCUAAUGAACCUAUUUUGUGUUUAAUUUGGUUGCAAAUCGCGAUUUUGUACACCGGAAGCCUAGAUGAUAGGUCCGAUGCGGCGUCGCUUGUCUCACUUACAGGAGACAACGAUCGGUAUGGGAAGAUGAUAAUUAAAGAAGGCGGAGUCAAUCUGUUGCUGAAAUUGGUGAAAGAAGGGAAACCAGUAGGUCACGAGAACGCUGUAUCUGUAAUCGAAUUCCUAGGUCGUGAUCCUGACAGCGUUGAACGCCGGUGUAUGCUCCUUGUUUGUUAAAAUUCUCAAAGAAGGUCCCAUGAAAGUGCAAGCAGUUGUCUCCUGGGCUGUAGCGUUCGAUUAACACAAUUCAUCAAACCCUAGAAUCGUAAAGGAAACCUAGCCUCCGUAGCUUUCUUCACACUUCACCUCCUCAAAGAUCUAUCGCAUCAUAACUAGAACCGUGCUUCAGCAACUAAAAGAGUUCUUGGAUCAGUCGCCAUCUCGAAGAAGACAGAGGAAACCAUGGAUCUUGGUUCAUUGCUUUGGCCUGUAACCAAGCCUCGAUUACAGUUGUACUUCUUGUGUGGACUCGUGUACUCAACCAUCACCCCCAUUCUCCUUCCAUUCAUCAUCGUCUUCUUUGAGUUUGCUUAUAUGUUUUUUCCUCAUCAGGUUAAAUAAGAAAAUGAUGUAAAUAUUGAUUGUAAGCUUCUAUCCCAUUUGGAGCUGGACACAUACUGGUGGAGCAUUAUGCUAGUUGUUUCAUUUACUUGCAUGGCUGAUAAAUGAAUUACAAAAAUAAUUCCAAUUGUCAAACAAUUAUCAAAGUCUCAUUAAAUUGAUGGCCUUAUCAUGACAUUCUACUUCCACAUUCAUUGUCAAGAAGAUGUCAAGUCAGCUAAGAAACUCUCUUUUAUUGUGAUCUCUUUUCUGUAGGAACCUCUUCGUAAGAAAAUGUUAAGUCAGCUAAGAAACUCUCUACAGGGUUUAAAUAUUGCAAGUGAAUCCCUUGAACAUGCCAUGCAACGUGUUAUUGAUGACAACCUUGAGUUGGGUUGUGCAUCAAUUGAAAAAGCUGCAAUUGAAACCGUUUUAAUUUCUUAAUCCUUUUGUUGGUGUUAUAUACAUUCAUUUUUUUGCAUCUUAUGUUUAUAUCGAUGCACGUGUCAUACAGGGGCUAGUAAUAGUAAAAAAUGAAAUUGCUCAGCAACUUUCAGUUAGAAGGAAGCAAGGAGAAAGUUCUAGAACUACAACAAUUGAUCCAAACUUAUCUACAUAAAGUAUAGGUGCUUUUCCUUAUCAAUUCUUUCAACUUGAAAUUUUCAUUGGUAAAGAUGCUAAACAAGCUGAAAUUCAGGUAUUCUAUCUUCAUUUUUAAUAAAUUAAAUCAAACUUUUCAUUACUUGUGUAUAACGGAUCAUUUUUUAAACUGUAACCAAAGUAAGUAUCCUAAAUCUGCAUACCAAAAUCAUUUUCUUCCUUCAUUCUUGUUCAUAUUAAUAUUUUUAAUGUAGCAAUGAAAUAUAAAUAACAAAACAAGAGGAUGGUUGUUUGGUUGUUUUCAGUCUGUUAUUUGUGAGGUUCUUGUGGUUGUUCUUAGAUGCAUCAACAAGGAUGAGGCUGCUUUGGCUAUGGCUCAAAUGGUUUUCGAGAGUUUAUAUGAAAAUGCAGCCAACUAUGUACAUGUCAAUGCUGACCUUGACAUCUUAGUUGGUAUGUGUGAUGUUAGCAAGCUUGUGAGGAGGGAAAUCACUAGUUGGGUAGUGCAUUCUGAUGAUGAGAGGAGAUUCAACAAAGAUAUUACAUUUGGCCUAAGUCAUAGGGAAUUACUGAACCUCACUGAGUAUGAUGCUUACAUGGCCAAACUUAUUGAUGGAGGAAAGAGUGCAUCUUGUGGCUAGCAAGGAUGAUGACGGGGCAUUUAUAUCUUCUGAACCAGAUCCUCCUAGUUUCCUUUGGCAGGUUUCUACAAUGUUCAAUGAGUGGUGUCGGAUACGUGAUCGCUAGCGGUGAGAAUGACACCUGAAGAAGCAGUUGAAGAAAUACUUCAGCCAAAGCAUCAAAGGUUUCCAAGAAGGAGAUAAUGGCAAACUCUUUUGCUGAUCCUGAAAAGUGUAUUCAAGAGAUAGUAGAGAAAGCAUCAACCAUUGUUCUUUCCGAGAUGAAACACGAAAACAUUAAGCAACAUGGGCAUGUCGAUGGGGAACAACUGGUAUCCAGCCAUCUAAAGAAGAAUCUUAGUUUGGAGCUGAAAAACCUAGUUGUUUUGACAGCAAAAUUCAGAAUAUUUAUCUAUCACAUGACCUACAAGUUUCUUUCCUUUCUAACACCCCCUCAAACUCAAGAGGGUUGCAUUUGUCACAUGACCAAAUCCAAAUUGUGUUUAUCAAACAAAAUAUCUCUCAUACUUCAUAUUCAUUGGAAGAGUUGGGAAAGCAAUUUUUGAUGGUUAAUUGCUUGAUGUUCAUUUCAAAAGAUCUUUCUAUAAGCAUAUGAUUGGAGUAAAAUUAACCUACCAUGACAUUGAAGCUAUCGAUCCAUGUUACUUCAAAAACUUGAAGUGGAUGCUUGAGAACAAUAUCAAUGAUAUUUUAGAUCUUACAUUUAGUAUCGAUGCUGAUGAAGAGAAGCUCAUCUUAUGUGAAAAAACAGAAGUAUGCUAUAUGUGGGGAUUUAACGCUGAAAAAGAUAGUAGCUACAAGACCAUCUACUAAAGCAAGGUUGGUGUAAGAGUUGAUGACGAGAACAUUGUUCCAAGACCUUUAGUGAGUUAUGAUGAUGUCCCUAAUAGCAAUGUAGUAUUAGGUUAUAUAGUUAGGGAUGAUUAUUUGUAUUUGACAUGUUAGUGCAAUGAAUUAUCUUUCUUAUUUAUUGUAUUUUAUUUUGUAUUUUGUAUGAUAUUAACUUUUG